This 79-nucleotide small RNA is filed under the name Flavobacterium crassostreae. RNAcentral's name for it is "Flavo-1 RNA". It matches the Rfam family "Flavo-1 RNA". The record is from Rfam by way of RNAcentral. Lineage: Bacteria; Pseudomonadati; Bacteroidota; Flavobacteriia; Flavobacteriales; Flavobacteriaceae.
CAUUAGCCCUGAUAGCAGCGGUAUCCUUCUUGUUUUUUCUUUAAAAACAAGAAGAUACAAGCGUAUAGCAGGAAAUAGC